This is a microRNA precursor of Oryza sativa Japonica Group (Japanese rice), 275 nucleotides long. It matches the Rfam family "MIR821 microRNA precursor family". The record is from Rfam. Lineage: Eukaryota; Viridiplantae; Streptophyta; Magnoliopsida; Poales; Poaceae.
GAUAUCAACUGAAAAAGUCAUCAACAACAAAGUUGAAUAACUCAUCAAGAUCUAAAACUUUUAUUUUGUUCAUUUCUUCAUACGACAAAGUGAUAAUAACAUUGUUCACAAAAUUGACAUAUCUCUUAUCUGGUUUUAUAAACUAUAACACAUAUAUGUAAAAUUUGUGAAUAAUAUUACUAACAUUUCGUCGGAUGAAGAAAUAACAAAAAUAAAAGUUUUAGAUCUUGAUGAGUUAUUCAACUUUGUUGUUGAUGACUUUUUCAAUUGAAAUC